Molecule: ribosomal RNA, 433 nt
Filed under: uncultured bacterium
Lineage: Bacteria
Description: partial 16S ribosomal RNA
Rfam family: Bacterial small subunit ribosomal RNA
Source: RNAcentral
AACGAACGCUGGCGGCAUGCCUAACACAUGCAAGUCGAACGAGACCUUCGGGUCUAGUGGCGCACGGGUGCGUAACGCGUGGGAACCUGCCCUUAGGUUCGGAAUAACUCCCCGAAAGGGGUGCUAAUACCGGAUAAUGUCUUCGGACCAAAGAUUUAUCGCCUUUGGAUGGGCCCGCGUUGGAUUAGCUAGUUGGUAGGGUAAAACCCUACCGAGGCGACGAUCCAUAGCUGGUCUGAGAGGAUGAUCAGCCACACUGGGACUGAGACACGGCCCAGACUCCUACGGGAGGAAGCAAUGGGGAAUAUUGGACAAUGGGCGAAAGCCUAAUCCAGCAAUGCCGCGUGAGUGAUGAAGGCCUUAGGGUUGGAAAGCUCUUUUACCCAGGAUGAUAAUGACAGGACCGGGAGAAUAGGCUGCGGCUAACUCCGUG